GCCGAUGUAGCUCAGACGGUUAGAGCGCGUGCUUGGUAAGUACGAGGUCGGCGGUUCAAAUCCGCCCAUCGGCUCCA
RNAcentral lists this transfer RNA (77 nucleotides) under Candidatus Colwellbacteria bacterium CG10_big_fil_rev_8_21_14_0_10_41_28. Its description in RNAcentral is "tRNA-Thr". It matches the Rfam family "tRNA". Rfam says of the family: Transfer RNA (tRNA) molecules are approximately 80 nucleotides in length. Their secondary structure includes four short double-helical elements and three loops (D, anti-codon, and T loops). Lineage: Bacteria; Candidatus Colwelliibacteriota. The record is from RNAcentral.